Molecule: ribosomal RNA, 492 nt
Filed under: uncultured bacterium
Lineage: Bacteria
Description: partial 16S ribosomal RNA
Rfam family: Bacterial small subunit ribosomal RNA
Source: RNAcentral
AGUGAACGCUGGCGGUAGGCCUAACACAUGCAAGUCGAACGACAGCACAGUAAGAGCUUGCUCUUACGGGUGGCGAGUGACGGACGGGUGAGGCAUACAUCGGAAUCUACUAAUACGUGGGGGAUAACGUAAGACAACUUCCGCUAAUACCGCAUACGACCUACGGGUGAAAGCAGGGGUUCUUCGGACCUUGCGCGUUUCAAUGAGACGAUGUCGCAUUAGCUAGUUGGCGGGGUAAAGGAACACCAAGGCAACGAUGCGUAGCCGAUCUGAGAGGAUGAGCGGCCCCACUGGAACUGAGACACGGUCCAGACUCCUACGGGAGGCAGCAGUAGGGAAUCUUCGGCAAUGGGCGAAAGCUUGACGGAGCCACGCCGCGUGAGUGAUGAAGGUCUUCGGGUCUUAAAACUCUGUUAUUAGGGAAGAAAAAAUGUGUAAGUAACUCCGCACGUUUUGACGGUACCCAAACAGAAAGCCACGGCUAACUUCGUG